RNAcentral lists this non-coding RNA (29 nucleotides) under Homo sapiens (human). The record is from RNAcentral. Lineage: Eukaryota; Metazoa; Chordata; Mammalia; Primates; Hominidae.
UGGGAAGUGAGGAAUGCUUCUGCCCGGCC